This 441-nucleotide non-coding RNA is filed under the name Loxodonta africana (African savanna elephant). Its description in RNAcentral is "Eukaryotic small subunit ribosomal RNA". It matches the Rfam family "Eukaryotic small subunit ribosomal RNA", at positions 1235 to 1655 of the family's 1831-position model. The record is from Rfam by way of RNAcentral. Lineage: Eukaryota; Metazoa; Chordata; Mammalia; Proboscidea; Elephantidae.
CACCACCACCCAUGGAAUCGAGAAAGAGCUAUCAAUCUGUCAAUCCUGUCCGUGUCCCGGCCGGGUGAGGUUUCCCGUGUUGGUGCAUGACCGUUCUUAGUUGGUGGAGUGAUUUGUCUGGUUAAUUCCGAUAAUGAAGGAGACUAUGGCAUGCUAACUAGUUAUACGACCCCGGAGCGGUUGGUGUCCCCCAACUUCUUAGAGGGACAAGUGGCGUUCAGCCACCUGAGAUUGAGCAGUAACAGGUCCGUGAUGCCCUUAGAUGUCCGGGGCUGCACGCACGCUACACUGCCUGGCUCAGCAUGUGCCUGUCCUACGUGGGCAGGUGUGGGUAACCCGUUGAACCCCAUUCGUGAUGGGGAUUGGGGAUUGCAAUUAUUCACCAUCAAUGCGGAAUUCCCAGUAAGUGCGGGUCAUAACCUUGCGUUGAUUAAGUCCCUG